This 433-nucleotide ribosomal RNA is filed under the name uncultured bacterium. RNAcentral's name for it is "partial 16S ribosomal RNA". It matches the Rfam family "Bacterial small subunit ribosomal RNA", at positions 29 to 507 of the family's 1533-position model. The record is from RNAcentral.
AACGAACGCUGGCGGCAUGCCUAACACAUGCAAGUCGAACGAGACCUUCGGGUCUAGUGGCGCCCGGGUGCGUAACGCGUGGGAACCUGCCUUUAGGUUCGGACUAACUCAGAGAAAUUUGAGCUAAUACCGGAUGAUGUCUUCGGACCAAAGAUUUAUCGCCUUUAGAUGGGCCCGCGUUGGAUUAGCUAGUUGGUGGGGUAAAGGCCUACCAAGGCGACGAUCCAUAGCUGGUCUGAGAGGAUGAUCAGCCACACUGGGACUGAGACACGGCCCAGACUCCUACGGGAGGCAGCAGUGGGGGAUAUUGGACAAUGGGCGAAAGCCUGAUCCAGCAAGGCCGCGUGAGUGAUGAAGGCCGUAGGGUUGUAAAGCUCUUUUACCCGAGAUGAUAAUGACAGUAUCGGGAGAAUAAGCUCCGGCUAACUCCGUG